CUCAAUAUUUCCCUUAUUGCCUCUGUUGAUAAUUUCGGUUGUAUUCUAUGCCACUUUCUAGAAAAGGAAACCAAAAUGAAGAAGAAAAAAGGCACGGGUGCGUUCUUCCAGCGAAUAUGGAGAGCUGUGAAGUCUACAGUGCUGUGUUGCUACAGGGGCAACAAAGAAGAGCCUUUCAGCAUCGAGCCAGUGGCUCAGCAAGAUCCAGCAGAUCUUCAGCCAGGUCCACGGAGCUCCGACUCGGAGUUAAAGACUGACCCCGGCCCGUCUUGUCUCAAGCCUGAGUUAACAGAGGUCUCAGGUCCACCCAGCGUGGAGAGGACACGUACCAGCGAUCCGGCUGAUCUCGAGCCUUCCUCUGUCUCGGGUCCAUCCGGUCUCCAGCUGGCACCUGACAGCGAUCCAACCGGUCCUGAUCCAUUACCUGUACCAGCUCCAUCCAGCCUCGAGCCGAUGGCUCCUCAAGAUCUAGCUGAUCUAGUCACACUUCAGUCCAAUCUUGAAAUGACACCUGAUCCAUCGCCAGAACCUGUCCCAGGUCCAUCUGGCCUUCAUGCGAAGUUAACAUCUUUUUGGGGUCCAUCUGGUUUUGGUCCAGCUGUCGGAUCAUUUUUCUCCCUUUAUGACGUUGGUGUACCGCUGGGUUCAGGAAAUUUUGGCACUGUGUAUGAGGGGACUCGAAGAUCUGACGACCAAAAGGUUGCCAUCAAAUUUGUAUCAAAGUCUGUGCAGGACCGCUUUAUUUAUAUUCCUGGGUGUACCAGACCUCUCCUGGUGGAAGUGGCUCUGAAUCUGGUGCUGCGAGAGCCUCCCAGAAGCCCUUACAUCCUCCAAAUGCACGACUGGUUUGUGCAGCAUUAUCGGUACAUCUUGAUUCUGGAAUAUCCACAUCCAUGUGAGACCUUGCUCAGCUUCGCUUUGCGCAACGGAGGUUACCUUGAAGAAAGCGUGGCACGCGGCUUAAUGCGCCAAGCGGUGCUCGCAGCCAAACACUGUCUCGACCGGGGUGUUUUUCACCGUGACAUCAAGUCAGACAACAUCCUGGUCAACACGGAGACGCUGCAACUCAAAUUAAUAGACUUUGGCUGCGGCAAACUUUUGGAAACUUCUGAAGAGCUCAAAGAGGGCCCAGCGGUCAGAGCUACGGUCAAGUCUUUGGGUGUUUUGCUGUUCAGGAUGGUGAAUGGAAUCAGCUUUGUCGAUUUGCAGAUGAUACCUUCCUCCACUUUAUCCAGUGAAUGCCGUGAUCUUUUGAGCCAGUCCAAGAGCAGCAGCCUGACUUUAGACAAGCUCCUAGAACACGAAUGGUUUAGGAAGAGCUGAAGGAGGGAAGAAAAUGUCGCUCGGGAGUCAGUGUUUUAUUAGACUAAUUUAUUGUGGGUGCAGAAAUUUCUGGCGCGAAUCGCGUGCGGGAGAAGCAAACGUCAUCAACACACGGAUCACUUCAUCCGGAGAAGGAUUAACGGCCCUGAGAAAACCUUCCAAACCCAGCCACAGCACUGUUUUGUUUCCUGAAUGAAUCAGCAGUUUAAAGGAUUCGGUUCAAUCGCUUUGACUCACUUAUUAACAGUGACUUCCUUCCACCUACAGACGGAUUCAUUUUUUAUUUAAAUAAUCUCAAACAUCAGCAUUCAACGUUUUGUUUAAUAUAAAAACAUGCAUGCAUUGUCAAAUUAGUCAUUUAUGAAGUUAAAUAAACAUGCAGAUUUAUGUAAAAGCUGAUAGAACACUGAAAAUAUUGCUUCAGAAUAAAUUUACACCAAAAAUCUAGGUGAUGCUAAAUUCUAAACCUUGUCUGCGUGUUAAUCUUUCUGUGUCAUUCAUUUAUUUACUUGAAGUUAAACUAGUAUUAAUUUCUUUCAGAAUUUUCCUGGGAAUAAAUCCUGGUCAAAGGCUGAGAUGAAGGGAACAAAACAUCAAAAUCCUUCAAGACCGCCAAAAUUCCUGGGAAAAGGAAAAAAUCCUGCAGCCGUUUAUUUCUGAUUUUGUGUUUUUUAAUUAAUUUGACUUGGUUUCUUUAUUUUACUUACGGAGCUAAUUGUUUUGACGUGCAUCACUAAUAUUACACACAAUGCUAUUUAAAACAUGACGUUGUUUUAAUGUUGUUUGUAUGUUUGCAUGUUAUUUAGUUGGUGUUUUUGAAAAUGUAUUUUGCAGUAUUACAGUUUUGUGCUUGUAUAUUCAUAUGUAAUACAAAAGCUAUUGAAUACAUGAACAUGUAGUAAAAAUAAAUGUUUGG
Molecule: RNA transcript, 2239 nt
Organism: Puntigrus tetrazona (Sumatra barb)
Lineage: Eukaryota; Metazoa; Chordata; Actinopteri; Cypriniformes; Cyprinidae
Gene name: serine/threonine-protein kinase pim-2-like
Exons: 8
Source: RefSeq, a predicted model, not a curated record